Molecule: ribosomal RNA, 301 nt
Filed under: uncultured bacterium
Lineage: Bacteria
Description: partial 16S ribosomal RNA
Rfam family: Bacterial small subunit ribosomal RNA
Source: RNAcentral
CAGUCGCCGCGGUAAUACGAAGGGUGCAAGCGUUACUCGGAAUUACUGGGCGUAAAGCGUGCGUAGGUGGUGGUUUAAGUCCGUUGUGAAAGCCCUGGGCUCAACCUGGGAAUUACAGUGGAUACUGGAUCACUAGAGUGUGGUAGAGGAUAGUGGAAUUUCCGGUGUAGCAGUGUAAUGCGUAGAGAUCGGAAGGAACAUCUGUGGCGAAGGCGACUAUCUGGGCCGACACUGACACUGAGGCACGAAAGCGUGGGGAGCAAACAGGAUUAGAUACCCCCGUAGUCCCUGUCUCUUAUAC